RNAcentral lists this transfer RNA (67 nucleotides) under Ictidomys tridecemlineatus (thirteen-lined ground squirrel). Its description in RNAcentral is "Spermophilus tridecemlineatus (thirteen-lined ground squirrel) tRNA". It matches the Rfam family "tRNA". Rfam says of the family: Transfer RNA (tRNA) molecules are approximately 80 nucleotides in length. Their secondary structure includes four short double-helical elements and three loops (D, anti-codon, and T loops). Further hydrogen bonds mediate the characteristic L-shaped molecular structure. tRNAs have two regions of fundamental functional importance: the anti-codon, which is responsible for specific mRNA codon recognition, and the 3' end, to which the tRNAs corresponding amino acid is attached (by aminoacyl-tRNA synthetases). tRNAs cope with the degeneracy of the genetic code in two manners: having more than one tRNA (with a specific anti-codon) for a particular amino acid; and 'wobble' base-pairing, i.e. permitting non-standard base-pairing at the 3rd anti-codon position. The record is from Rfam by way of RNAcentral. Lineage: Eukaryota; Metazoa; Chordata; Mammalia; Rodentia; Sciuridae.
GGUUGUGGCUUAGUGGUAGAGCACUUGCCUGGCAUGUAUGAGGCCCUGGGUUCAACCCUCAGCACCA